CUAGCCGUAAACGAUGGAUACUAGGUGUUAGAGGUAUCGACCCCUCUAGUGCCGAAGCUAACGCAUUAAGUAUCCCGCCUGGGGAGUACGGCCGCAAGGCUGAAACUCAAAGGAAUUGACGGGGGCCCGCACAAGCGGUGGAGCAUGUGGUUUAAUACGUCACUAACCGUAGAACCUUACCCAGGCUUGACAUCUGGGGAAUCCUGGUGAAAGCCGGGAGUGCCUCGUAAGAGGAGCCCCAAGACAGGUGU
This 251-nucleotide ribosomal RNA is filed under the name uncultured Armatimonadota bacterium. RNAcentral's name for it is "uncultured Armatimonadetes bacterium partial 16S ribosomal RNA". It matches the Rfam family "Bacterial small subunit ribosomal RNA", at positions 796 to 1041 of the family's 1533-position model. The record is from RNAcentral. Lineage: Bacteria; Bacillati; Armatimonadota.